This 497-nucleotide ribosomal RNA is filed under the name uncultured bacterium. RNAcentral's name for it is "partial 16S ribosomal RNA". It matches the Rfam family "Bacterial small subunit ribosomal RNA", at positions 28 to 507 of the family's 1533-position model. The record is from RNAcentral.
GAUGAACGCUGGCGGCGUGCCUAAUACAUGCAAGUCGAGCGAACAGACGAGGAGCUUGCUCCUCUGACGUUAGCGGCGGACGGGUGAGUAACACGUGGAUAACCUACCUAUAAGACUGGGAUAACUUCGGGAAACCGGAGCUAAUACCGGAUAAUAUAUUGAACCGCAUGGUUCAAUAGUGAAAGACGGUUUUGCUGUCACUUAUAGAUGGAUCCGCGCCGCAUUAGCUAGUUGGUAAGGUACCGGCUUACCAAGGCAACGAUGCGUAGCCGACCUGAGAGGGUGAUCGGCCACACGGGAACGGAGACACGGUCCAGACUCCUACGGGAGGCAGCAGUAGGGAAUCUUCCGCAAUGGGCGAAAGCCUGACGGAGCAACGCCGCGUGAGUGAUGAAGGUCUUCGGAUCGGAAAACUCUGUUAUUAGGGAAGAACAAAUGUGUAAGUAACUAUGCACGUCUUGACGGUACCUAAUCAGAAAGCCACGGCUAACUACGUG